CCUACGGGUGGCAGCAGUGGGGAAUAUUGCUCAAUGGGGGGAACCCUGAUGCAGCGACGCCGCGUGAGUGAAGAAGUAUUUCGGUAUGUAACGCUCUCUCAGCAGGGGAAAAAAUGACGGUACCUGAUUAAGAAUCCCCGUCUAAAUACAUGCCAGCACCCGCGGUACUACGUAGGGGGCACGAGUUAUCCGGAUUUACUGGGGGUAAAGGGAGCGUAGACGGCAGCACAAGUCUGGAGUGAAAUGCCGGGGCUUAACCCCGGAACUGCUGUGGAAACUGUGCAGCUAGAGUGCAGGAGAGGUACGUGGAAUUCGUAGUGUAGCGGUGAAAUGCGUAGAUAUUAGGAGGAACACCAGUGGCGAAGGCGGCGUACUGGACUGCAACUGACGCUGAGGCUCGAAAGCAUGGGUAGCGAACAGGAUUAGAUACCCGAGUAGUC
This 440-nucleotide ribosomal RNA is filed under the name uncultured bacterium. RNAcentral describes it as "partial 16S ribosomal RNA". It matches the Rfam family "Bacterial small subunit ribosomal RNA", at positions 338 to 795 of the family's 1533-position model. The record is from RNAcentral.